CGAAGUACUCGGAACUUGAUUUCCAUUACAGUGGUGAGCUUUUUGGCAAAAGUAAAGAGAUAGUACCCGAGGAUCAAGAAUCAGAGUACUUGAAACUCGAUUUCCAUUACAGCUCAGGAUAGUCGGCAGAUAGCUCAUUUCGUUGAGGGCUACAGUUGGACUUGCAUCCUAAAAAACUAUAGGUUCACAACCUUCAUUGCUUUUUGUCAUUCGGGGGCCCACAUGUCAUUGUUAAAUGUUUUGAAUACCUGCCUGAAUGUGCUACUGUAUGUAGGAAUUUAUUUUG
This is a non-coding RNA of Theobroma cacao (cacao), 286 nucleotides long. The record is from RefSeq and is a predicted model, not a curated record. Lineage: Eukaryota; Viridiplantae; Streptophyta; Magnoliopsida; Malvales; Malvaceae.